CGCCUUUUUACCAUUGUCUCAUGUGCCACGUUGCUCUAUCCAUUGAUGGAUUGAUGUACUCUAGUCACUUUCAACCCAGUUUUGGUCGUCUGUCUUUUUUGUAAUCUGUCAACCUAGCAGAAGUGUAAGACGGGCUUUAGUCAUCUGUUGCACACAAAAGUGCAGCCACAAGUUUAGAAAAGGAGGGUUUUCACUUGUUCGGAUUUUGCCUUAGGUUGGUCUUUGUUGCAAGUUUGUCGUUUGUUUCUUGAAAGCUGGUCUGCUGUAACUUUACCCCCAAAGCCCUCGAGAUAACGAGGCCUCCUGUGGGGACCUAUAUGAAGGGCAACGUGUGUACCAUGCAACAAAUCGUUGGGCUAAAUGCUGUAACUUUUGAGGUGCAAAACCAAGGUCCGCUGUAACCUUUGCCCUGAAAGCCCCGAAAUAAAGAGGCGCCUUGUGAAAUCUAUAUGAAUUGCUUUGUGUGCCAUGUACGACUAAGUGUCGGAGCCAAAAGCUUGCACCGAACCUAUUGGAUGCAAACUGGGGGCUAUGAUUUCAG
Molecule: long non-coding RNA, 541 nt
Filed under: Triticum aestivum (bread wheat)
Lineage: Eukaryota; Viridiplantae; Streptophyta; Magnoliopsida; Poales; Poaceae
Description: long non-coding RNA (TAES_LNC006181)
Source: RNAcentral